UACGUAGGUGGCAAGCGUUGUCCGGAUUUAUUGGGUUUAAAGGGUGCGUAGGCGGCUUUGUAAGUCAGUGGUGAAAUAUGGCAGCUUAACUGUCAAGGUGCCAUUGAUACUGCGGGGCCUGAGUACAGAUGAGGUAGGCGGAAUUGACGGUGUAGCGGUGAAAUGCUUAGAUAUCGUCAAGAACACCUAUAGCGAAGGCAGCUUACUAGGCUGUAACUGACGCUGAGGCACGAAAGUGUGGGGAUCAAACAGG
This 253-nucleotide ribosomal RNA is filed under the name uncultured bacterium. RNAcentral describes it as "partial 16S ribosomal RNA". It matches the Rfam family "Bacterial small subunit ribosomal RNA", at positions 524 to 776 of the family's 1533-position model. The record is from RNAcentral.